Molecule: unclassified non-coding RNA, 284 nt
Filed under: plant metagenome
Description: partial contains small subunit ribosomal RNA, internal transcribed spacer 1, and 5.8S ribosomal RNA
Rfam family: Eukaryotic small subunit ribosomal RNA (bases 1-53)
Source: RNAcentral
GGAAGUAAAGUCGUAACAAGGUUUCCGUAGGUGAACCUGCGGAAGGAUCAUUAUUGUAUAACCGAGGUGCGAGGGCUGUCGCUGACCCGAAAGGUCGUGCACGCCCAAGUGCCCACACACACAUCCAUCUCACCCCUAUGUGCACCACCGCGUGGGUCCCCCUUUGGCUUGUUCGGAGGGGGGCUUACGUUUUCACACAAACUUUGUAUGCAGUGUAGAAUGUAUUUUUUGCUUUUGCGAUCACGCAAUCAAUACAACUUUCAACAACGGAUCUCUUGGCUCUC